Molecule: ribosomal RNA, 1036 nt
Filed under: Bacillus amyloliquefaciens
Lineage: Bacteria; Bacillati; Bacillota; Bacilli; Caryophanales; Bacillaceae
Description: bacterial SSU rRNA
Rfam family: Bacterial small subunit ribosomal RNA
Source: RNAcentral
AGUCGAGCGGACAGAUGGGAGCUUGCUCCCUGAUGUUAGCGGCGGACGGGUGAGUAACACGUGGGUAACCUGCCUGUAAGACUGGGAUAACUCCGGGAAACCGGGGCUAAUACCGGAUGGUUGUUUGAACCGCAUGGUUCAGACAUAAAAGGUGGCUUCGGCUACCACUUACAGAUGGACCCGCGGCGCAUUAGCUAGUUGGUGAGGUAACGGCUCACCAAGGCGACGAUGCGUAGCCGACCUGAGAGGGUGAUCGGCCACACUGGGACUGAGACACGGCCCAGACUCCUACGGGAGGCAGCAGUAGGGAAUCUUCCGCAAUGGACGAAAGUCUGACGGAGCAACGCCGCGUGAGUGAUGAAGGUUUUCGGAUCGUAAAGCUCUGUUGUUAGGGAAGAACAAGUGCCGUUCAAAUAGGGCGGCACCUUGACGGUACCUAACCAGAAAGCCACGGCUAACUACGUGCCAGCAGCCGCGGUAAUACGUAGGUGGCAAGCGUUGUCCGGAAUUAUUGGGCGUAAAGGGCUCGCAGGCGGUUUCUUAAGUCUGAUGUGAAAGCCCCCGGCUCAACCGGGGAGGGUCAUUGGAAACUGGGGAACUUGAGUGCAGAAGAGGAGAGUGGAAUUCCACGUGUAGCGGUGAAAUGCGUAGAGAUGUGGAGGAACACCAGUGGCGAAGGCGACUCUCUGGUCUGUAACUGACGCUGAGGAGCGAAAGCGUGGGGAGCGAACAGGAUUAGAUACCCUGGUAGUCCACGCCGUAAACGAUGAGUGCUAAGUGUUAGGGGGUUUCCGCCCCUUANUGCUGCAGCUAACGCAUUAAGCACUCCGCCUGGGGAGUACGGUCGCAAGACUGAAACUCAAAGGAAUUGACGGGGGCCCGCACAAGCGGUGGAGCAUGUGGGUUUAAUUCGAAGCAACGCGAAGAACCUUACCAGGUCUUGACAUCCUCUGACAAUCCUAGAGAUAGGACGUCCNCCUUCGGGGGCAGANUGACAGGNGNUGCAUGNNNNCGUCAGCUCNNNNCGUGAGAUGUU